CGAGCUGGCACCGGAGAAAACUGCCAACCCAGCAGGUCAGGGGCGGGCCGGCCAUAGGUUCGAAUCCUGCCACCUUUC
Molecule: transfer RNA, 78 nt
Filed under: Hoya lithophytica
Lineage: Eukaryota; Viridiplantae; Streptophyta; Magnoliopsida; Gentianales; Apocynaceae
Description: tRNA-Pro
Source: RNAcentral